UACGUAGGGUGCAAGCGUUAAUCGGAAUUACUGGGCGUAAAGCGUGCGCAGGCGGUUUUGUAAGACUGUCGUGAAAUCCCCGGGCUUAACCUGGGAAUGGCGAUGGUGACUGCAAGGCUAGAGUUUGGCAGAGGGGGGUAGAAUUCCACGUGUAGCAGUGAAAUGCGUAGAUAUGUGGAGGAACACCGAUGGCGAAGGCAGCCCCCUGGGUCAAAACUGACGCUCAGGCACGAAAGCGUGGGGAGCAAACAGG
This 253-nucleotide ribosomal RNA is filed under the name uncultured bacterium. RNAcentral's name for it is "partial 16S ribosomal RNA". It matches the Rfam family "Bacterial small subunit ribosomal RNA", at positions 524 to 776 of the family's 1533-position model. The record is from RNAcentral.